UUGUUCCUUUUCCCUUCUUGCAACCAAGAGGGCCCAAAUCCAGCCUUUCUUUCCUUGUUUUCUUGUUCCCCUUGUUUCCCUAGAGGAGAGCUGAGAAAGAGUGGAGAAAGCUUGAAAAAAUUCUCCUCCUUGAGCUGGAAAAUUGAGAAACUUGAGAAGCAUAAAAGAGUAGCCCUUACCUCCUUCCAUCUUUUCCCAACAAAUCAAGAAGAGAAAAGCUCCAACAUUCCAAGCUUGUUCCAACCGAGAAAUUGAGUGGUGAGUAAGCAGUUUUGUUACUUUUCUAAGUCUUGAAACCGAGGGGGAAACUUGAGGGGAGCUUGAGGGAUUUCAUCCAUGACCAAUUUCACAACCAAGGGGAAAGUGCUUGAGAAAGAUUGGAGAAACUUUGCUUCAUCCUUGUUGUUGCAGCCCCGAGAGAGAGGAAAAGAUUGGAGAGCUACCAGCCUUGAUUCUUCAAUUUCCAACUUCAAUUUCUUGCGGAAAAAGAGGACUUGAAAGUGGGCGAGAACGUGAGCCCGGUACUGGAAUGUGAAAUUCUCAUUAUAUGGGGUGCGGGGAUAAGAGAGACAAGAAUAGUAAUGGUUUGUAAUAGAGUAUCUUGAGUUUGUAUUUGGCCGACACUGUAUUAUGGUACUAAUCGUUUAAGUUCUUUUCCUUUGGUUUGUACUUUGGAUUGAA
Coffea eugenioides is the source of this 681-nucleotide long non-coding RNA. RefSeq lists it as uncharacterized. The transcript is spliced from 3 exons. The record is from RefSeq and is a predicted model, not a curated record. Lineage: Eukaryota; Viridiplantae; Streptophyta; Magnoliopsida; Gentianales; Rubiaceae.